Molecule: ribosomal RNA, 253 nt
Filed under: uncultured bacterium
Lineage: Bacteria
Description: partial 16S ribosomal RNA
Rfam family: Bacterial small subunit ribosomal RNA
Source: RNAcentral
UACGUAGGGUGCAAGCGUUGUCCGGAAUUAUUGGGCGUAAAGAGCUCGUAGGCGGUCUGUCGCGUCGGCUGUGAAAACCCGGAGCUCAACUCCGGGCCUGCAGUCGAUACGGGCAAACUGGAGUGUUGCAGGGGAGACUGGAAUUCCUGGUGUAGCGUUGAAAUGCGCAGAUAUCAGGAGGAACACCGGUGGCGAAGGCGGGUCUCUGGGCAACAACUGACGCUGAGGAGCGAAAGCGUGGGGAGCGAACAGG